This 482-nucleotide ribosomal RNA is filed under the name uncultured bacterium. Its description in RNAcentral is "partial 16S ribosomal RNA". It matches the Rfam family "Bacterial small subunit ribosomal RNA", at positions 29 to 523 of the family's 1533-position model. The record is from RNAcentral.
AGUGAACGUUGGCGGCGUGGAUUAGGCAUGCAAGUCGAGCGCGAUAUGUAGCAAUACAUGGAGAGCGGCGAAAGGGAGAGUAAUACGUAGGUAUCUACCCUCGGGUCUGGGAUAGCAGCGGGAAACUGCUGGUAAUACCAGAUAACGUCUCCGGACCAAAGGUGUGAUUCCACCUGAGGAGGAGCCUACGGCCUAUUAGCUAGUUGGUAGGGUAACGGCCUACCAAGGCAAAGAUGGGUAUGGGGUGUGAGAGCAUGCCCCCACUCACUGGGACUGAGACACUGCCCAGACACCUACGGGUGGCUGCAGUCGAGAAUCUUCGGCAAUGGGCGAAAGCCUGACCGAGCGACGCCGCGUGCGGGAUGAAGGCCUUCGGGUUGUAAACCGCUGUCGUAGUGGAGGAAAUGUAGGAGAGUUAUCUCUUCUACUUGACUAAUACUAGGAGGAAGGACCGGCUAAUCUCGUGCCAGCCGCCGCCGUAA